RNAcentral lists this ribosomal RNA (397 nucleotides) under uncultured bacterium. RNAcentral's name for it is "bacterial SSU rRNA". It matches the Rfam family "Bacterial small subunit ribosomal RNA", at positions 521 to 916 of the family's 1533-position model. The record is from RNAcentral.
UAAAACGUAGGAGACGAGCGUUAUCCGGAUUUACUGGGCGUAAAGCGCGUGCAGGCGGCAUGGCAAGUUGGAUGUGAAAGCUCCCGGCUUAACUGGGAGAGGUCGUUCAAUACUGCCAGGCUUGAGAGUGGUAGAGGGAAGCGGAAUUCCGGGUGUAGUGGUGAAAUGCGUAGAUAUCCGGAGGAACACCAGUGGCGAAAGCGGCUUCCUGGCCCAUUUCUGACGCUCAGACGCGAAAGCUAGGGUAGCAAACGGGAUUAGAGACCCCGGUAGUCCUAGCCGUAAACGAUGUGAACUUGGCGUUGGCGGGUUUAAAUCCGUCAGUGCCGUAGCUAACGCGAUAAGUUCACCGCCUGGGGACUACGGCCGCAAGGUUAAAACUCAAAUGAAUUGACGG